AGAUUAAAGGAGGUCAGCUGGUC
This 23-nucleotide non-coding RNA is filed under the name Arabidopsis thaliana (thale cress). The record is from RNAcentral. Lineage: Eukaryota; Viridiplantae; Streptophyta; Magnoliopsida; Brassicales; Brassicaceae.